This 253-nucleotide ribosomal RNA is filed under the name uncultured bacterium. RNAcentral describes it as "partial 16S ribosomal RNA". It matches the Rfam family "Bacterial small subunit ribosomal RNA", at positions 524 to 776 of the family's 1533-position model. The record is from RNAcentral.
UACGGAGGGUGCAAGCGUUGUCCGGAUUCACUGGGCUUAAAGGGUGCGUAGGUGGGCAAGUAAGUCAGUGGUGAAAUCUCCGGGCUUAACCCGGAAACUGCCAUUGAUACUAUUUGUCUUGAAUACUGUGGAGGUCAGCGGAAUAUGUCAUGUAGCGGUGAAAUGCUUAGAUAUGACAUAGAACACCAAUGGCGAAGGCAGCUGGCUGCACAAAUAUUGACACUGAGGCACGAAAGCGUGGGGAUCAAACAGG